RNAcentral lists this ribosomal RNA (816 nucleotides) under Triticum aestivum (bread wheat). RNAcentral's name for it is "partial small subunit ribosomal RNA". The record is from RNAcentral. Lineage: Eukaryota; Viridiplantae; Streptophyta; Magnoliopsida; Poales; Poaceae.
AUGGGUCGCGGCAAGGUGCAGCUGAAGCGGAUAGAGAACAAGAUAAAUCGGCAGGUGACCUUCUCCAAGCGCCGCAACGGGCUCCUGAAGAAGGCGCACGAGAUCUCCGUCCUCUGUGACGCGGAGGUCGCCGUCAUCGUCUUCUCCCCCAAAGGCAAGCUCUAUGAGUACGCCACCGACUCCAGCAUGGACAAAAUUCUUGAACGUUAUGAGCGCUACUCUUAUGCUGAAAAGGCUCUUAUUUCAGCUGAAUCUGAAAGUGAGGGAAAUUGGUGCCACGAAUACAGGAAACUUAAGGCGAAGAUUGAGACCAUACAAAAAUGUCACAAGCACCUCAUGGGAGAGGAUCUGGAUUCUCUGAAUCUCAAAGAACUCCAACAACUGGAGCAGCAGCUGGAGAGUUCACUGAAGCACAUCAGAUCGAGAAAGAGCCAUCUUAUGAUGGAGUCCAUUUCUGAGCUACAGAAGAAGGAGAGGUCACUGCAGGAGGAGAACAAGGCCCUACAGAAGGAACUGGUGGAGAGGCAGAAGGCGGCGGCCAGCAGGCAGCAGCAGCAGCAACAACAACAACAGAUGCAGUGGGAGCACCAAACCCAGACCCAUACCCAAAACCAACCCCAAGCCCAGACCAGCUCAUCAUCUUCCAGUUUCAUGAUGAGGGAUCAGCAGGCCCAUGCCCCUCAACAGAACAUUUGCUACCCGCCAGUGACGAUGGGUGGGGAGGCGGCAGCGGCGGCAGCAGCAGCGCCGGGGCAGCAGGCUCAGCUUCGCAUUGGAGGCCUGCCUCCAUGGAUGCUUAGCCACCUCAACGCUUGA